RNAcentral lists this unclassified non-coding RNA (172 nucleotides) under uncultured Kwoniella. RNAcentral's name for it is "sequence contains ITS2". The record is from RNAcentral. Lineage: Eukaryota; Fungi; Basidiomycota; Tremellomycetes; Tremellales; Cryptococcaceae.
AACUCUCAACCCCUCGGGUUUUACGACCUGUUGGGUUGGAUUUGGGCGCUGCCGCUUCGUUGCCGGCUCGCCUUAAAGGUCUUAGUGGGAACGGUCGGACCCAUGGCUUGGCGUAAUAAGUUUCGCCUCGCUUGGCCGGCUGAAGUCCGCUCACAACCCCAAUACUCUUUCG